RNAcentral lists this small nucleolar RNA (126 nucleotides) under Octodon degus (degu). RNAcentral describes it as "Small nucleolar RNA SNORA32 (ENSODEG00000022785.1)". Lineage: Eukaryota; Metazoa; Chordata; Mammalia; Rodentia; Octodontidae. The record is from RNAcentral.
GGGCCCUUGCACCUGCUUGCUGGCACUUUAAUCCACUGAGCUUGAUGUGGACAUGGCCAUAAAAAAAAUUUUCCCACUAGGUUUGUGUCUGCUAUCUUGUUAGCAAUCAACCUGUUGGGAACAUUG